RNAcentral lists this ribosomal RNA (579 nucleotides) under Triticum aestivum (bread wheat). RNAcentral describes it as "partial small subunit ribosomal RNA". Lineage: Eukaryota; Viridiplantae; Streptophyta; Magnoliopsida; Poales; Poaceae. The record is from RNAcentral.
CUUUUUGGACCGAUCGCUGAUGGAGGGGUGCUGGGAUGCGGGCACAUUACACUGGAAACAGCCGGGCUUCUUCUAGGCGAACGGUCCCUCUGCAGGUUCUACUAGCCAAGAACAAGACCAGCAUGAAGGUCAACCCAAAGAGGAUGGGCACGAUCUACGCUGCAAAUUCUCUGUUUUCAGUUGUUGGCAAGGCACACAUUUGGAGGAAUUCUCAGCUCGACGCGCUGACAGGGCUGCAGGUUUACUACACACAGGUUCAGAAGCGCAGAUAGUGUUCAGAGAAGGGAAUUGUAGAGCCGACAGUGUCCAUUCUCUCCGUGGUGACGUCAACUUCACCGUGGACGCUCACUUUCCUCAUCCGUUUUCUUUUCUUCAGUGGCGUAACACAAGUCAGAAACGAUAGCUUUCCAACACAGGACAACAGUACCGCACCCUGGUUUUGUCAGAUGUGUACUGUCAAGCUGUCAUCCUUUUAUGCGUGUAUAUCUAUCUUUUCGAGGAGACUAGGAAUUUGCUAGAAGACUGGAACUUCUGUAUUUGGUUUCUGUGGAAGUUGAUAGAGCAACACAUUUACAACGG